This 492-nucleotide ribosomal RNA is filed under the name uncultured bacterium. RNAcentral's name for it is "partial 16S ribosomal RNA". It matches the Rfam family "Bacterial small subunit ribosomal RNA", at positions 29 to 507 of the family's 1533-position model. The record is from RNAcentral.
AUUGAACGCUGGCGGCAUGCUUUACACAUGCAAGUCGAACGGUAACAGGCCUUCGGGUGCUGACGAGUGGCGAACGGGGGAGUAAUGCAUCGGAACGUACCCAGAGGUGGGGGAUAACGCAGCGAAAGCUGUGCUAAUACCGCAUGUGAUCUGAGGAUGAAAGCGGGGGACCGAGCAGCAACGUUUGGCCUCGCGCCUUUGGAGCGGCCGAUGUCGGAUUAGCUAGUUGGUGGGGUAAAGGCCUACCAAGGCGACGAUCCGUAGCUGGUCUGAGAGGACGAUCAGCCACACUGGAACUGAGACACGGCCCAGACUCCUACGGGAGGCAGCAGUGGGGAAUAUUGGACAAUGGGCGCAAGCCUGAUCCAGCAAUGCCGCGUGCGGGAAGAAGGCCUUCGGGUUGUAAACCGCUUUUGGUAGGAACGAAACGGUGUCCGCUAAUACCGGGCGCUAAUGACGGUACCUGCAGAAUAAGCACCGGCUAACUACGUG